GGGAACUUGAGUGGGGAACUUCGUCUCGCACCUCCAGAAGGAGGGGAGGUUCAUCUCCGCUAUUCUCCCUCUAGGGUUUCAUUUGCGAGGCAGUGCUAGAGCUGUGGUGGAGGAGGAGCGAGCUCUUUGCGCGUCGGUGUAGCGCCACCUGCUGAGAGAGGCUUAAACCGAAGAAAUCACUAACAAUGGUGAGAACAUACACUUUCGCUGCUAUGGUGGCAGUGACGUACGCUAUAGUCACUAGCGGCGAUCACGUCUUUCGCUGGAUGGCAGAACGUCAAGAAAGCAAGAUGGAGCAGAUCAAAUUAGACAGGCAAGCAAUGAGGAUGCGGCGAGAGUUGCUCCGAGAACUGGAUGAGAAGAAUGCAGCUGCAGCAUAGACAACCCUAAUUCGUCCCAGCAGCAUCUUUUUAGGAACAGAUGAGUUGAUCAGCAAACCAAGGAAUUGCAAUCUAUGAAUAAAGUGUAGCAUCCAUUGUGAAGAGCAAAGGUGUGGUCGAUUUGCCAUGUGUCGGGAGUAAUUUGUUUUUAGAAUUGCCCCAUGUUAUCAAGACACUGAAGCAUUUCUUGAACCAUUAAACGCAUCUCCAUUGAUGGUCGUGUGUAUGUCCUACCCAAAAUAUAGUCUGAAAAUUUCAAUGAUAUAGUUAGUGCUCGUUUACUUUCCGUCA
Molecule: long non-coding RNA, 671 nt
Organism: Physcomitrium patens
Lineage: Eukaryota; Viridiplantae; Streptophyta; Bryopsida; Funariales; Funariaceae
Source: RefSeq, a predicted model, not a curated record